AGGACGAACGCUGGCGGCGUGCUUAACACAUGCAAGUCGAGCGGUAAGGCCUUUCGGGGUACACGAGCGGCGAACGGGUGAGUAACACGUGGGUGAUCUGCCCUGCACUCUGGGAUAAGCCUGGGAAACUGGGUCUAAUACCGGAUAUGACCUGCUCUCGCAUGGGGGUGGGUGGAAAGAUUUAUCGGUGCAGGAUGGGCCCGCGGCCUAUCAGCUUGUUGGUGGGGUAAUGGCCUACCAAGGCGACGACGGGUAGCCGACCUGAGAGGGUGACCGGCCACACUGGGACUGAGACACGGCCCAGACUCCUACGGGAGGCAGCAGUGGGGAAUAUUGCACAAUGGGCGAAAGCCUGAUGCAGCGACGCCGCGUGAGGAUGAAGGCCUUCGGGUUGUAAACCUCUUUCAGCAGGACGAAGCGCAAGUGACGGUACCUGCAGAAGAAGCACCGGCUAACUACGUGACCAGCCAGCCGC
RNAcentral lists this ribosomal RNA (475 nucleotides) under uncultured soil bacterium. Its description in RNAcentral is "bacterial SSU rRNA". It matches the Rfam family "Bacterial small subunit ribosomal RNA", at positions 26 to 518 of the family's 1533-position model. The record is from RNAcentral.